This 73-nucleotide transfer RNA is filed under the name Candidatus Roizmanbacteria bacterium CG_4_10_14_0_8_um_filter_36_36. Its description in RNAcentral is "tRNA-Phe". It matches the Rfam family "tRNA". From Rfam's summary of the family: Transfer RNA (tRNA) molecules are approximately 80 nucleotides in length. Their secondary structure includes four short double-helical elements and three loops (D, anti-codon, and T loops). Further hydrogen bonds mediate the characteristic L-shaped molecular structure. tRNAs have two regions of fundamental functional importance: the anti-codon, which is responsible for specific mRNA codon recognition, and the 3' end, to which the tRNAs corresponding amino acid is attached (by aminoacyl-tRNA synthetases). tRNAs cope with the degeneracy of the genetic code in two manners: having more than one tRNA (with a specific anti-codon) for a particular amino acid; and 'wobble' base-pairing, i.e. permitting non-standard base-pairing at the 3rd anti-codon position. Lineage: Bacteria; Candidatus Roizmaniibacteriota. RNAcentral also lists the same sequence under 4 other names. The record is from RNAcentral.
GCAGAGGUAGCCAAGGCGGUCACGGCGGGGGUCUGAAAAACCUCAGAUGUCAGUUCGAUUCUGACCCUCUGCA